Molecule: ribosomal RNA, 712 nt
Filed under: Lactiplantibacillus plantarum
Lineage: Bacteria; Bacillati; Bacillota; Bacilli; Lactobacillales; Lactobacillaceae
Description: bacterial SSU rRNA
Rfam family: Bacterial small subunit ribosomal RNA
Source: RNAcentral
GGUGCUUGCAUCAUGAUUUACAUUUGAGUGAGUGGCGAACUGGUGAGUAACACGUGGGAAACCUGCCCAGAAGCGGGGGAUAACACCUGGAAACAGAUGCUAAUACCGCAUAACAACUUGGACCGCAUGGUCCAAGUUUGAAAGAUGGCUUCGGCUAUCACUUUUGGAUGGUCCCGCGGCGUAUUAGCUAGAUGGUGGGGUAACGGCUCACCAUGGCAAUGAUACGUAGCCGACCUGAGAGGGUAAUCGGCCACAUUGGGACUGAGACACGGCCCAAACUCCUACGGGAGGCAGCAGUAGGGAAUCUUCCACAAUGGACGAAAGUCUGAUGGAGCAACGCCGCGUGAGUGAAGAAGGGUUUCGGCUCGUAAAACUCUGUUGUUAAAGAAGAACAUAUCUGAGAGUAACUGUUCAGGUAUUGACGGUAUUUAACCAGAAAGCCACGGCUAACUACGUGCCAGCAGCCGCGGUAAUACGUAGGUGGCAAGCGUUGUCCGGAUUUAUUGGGCGUAAAGCGAGCGCAGGCGGUUUUUUAAGUCUGAUGUGAAAGCCUUCGGCUCAACCGAAGAAGUGCAUCGGAAACUGGGAAACUUGAGUGCAGAAGAGGACAGUGGAACUCCAUGUGUAGCGGUGAAAUGCGUAGAUAUAUGGAAGAACACCAGUGGCGAAGGCGGCUGUCUGGUCUGUAACUGACGCUGAGGCUCGAAAGUAU